RNAcentral lists this ribosomal RNA (253 nucleotides) under uncultured bacterium. Its description in RNAcentral is "partial 16S ribosomal RNA". It matches the Rfam family "Bacterial small subunit ribosomal RNA", at positions 524 to 776 of the family's 1533-position model. The record is from RNAcentral.
UACGAAGGGGGCUAGCGUUGCUCGGAAUGACUGGGCGUAAAGGGCGCGUAGGCGGUUUGCACAGUCAGGCGUGAAAUUCCUGGGCUUAACCUGGGGGCUGCGCUUGAUACGUGUGGACUGGAGUGCGGAAGAGGGUCGUGGAGUUCCCAGUGUAGAGGUGAAAUUCGUAGAUAUUGGGAAGAACACCGGUGGCGAAGGCGGCAUCCUGGACCGGCAUUGACGCUGAGGAGCGAAAGCUAGGGGAGCAAACGGG